AUGGAUUCCAUCUUGGCGAAUGAAACUUGGGAGAUAACUGAUCGUCCUUAUGGGUGCAAACCUAUAGGAUGCAAAUGGGUAGUCAAGAAGAAGCUUAGGCCUGAUGGUACUAUCGAAAAGUACAAGGCUCGGCUCGUGGCUAAGGGUUAUACCCAAAAGGAAGGUGAAGACUUCUUUGAGACUUACUCAACUGUGGCUCGACUGACCACUAUUCGAGUUAUACUUUCACUAGCUGCCUCACAUGGUCUUCUCGUUCAUCAAAUGGAUGUUAAGACUGCUUUCCUAAAUGGAGAGUUGGAUGAGGAAAUUUAUAUGGAACAACCAGAUGGGUUUGUAAUAGAUGGUCAGGAAGGGAAAGUGUGCAAGUUGCUGAAGUCUUUGUAUGGACUCAAGCAAGCACCCAAACAGUGGCAUGAGAAGUUGGAAAGAACUUUAACAGCUGCAGGCUUUGUUGUGAACGAAGCUGACAAAUGUGUGUACUAUCUCCAUGGUGGGGGAUGA
Molecule: ribosomal RNA, 501 nt
Filed under: Triticum aestivum (bread wheat)
Lineage: Eukaryota; Viridiplantae; Streptophyta; Magnoliopsida; Poales; Poaceae
Description: partial small subunit ribosomal RNA
Source: RNAcentral